AAGUCGUAACAAGGUUUCCGUAGGUGAACCUGCGGAAGGAUCAUUAAUGAAACUUCAAGUCGGCUGUUCUGUGCUGGUGGCAACACAUGUGCACGUUCAGUCGCAAUCCACACACCUGUGCACUUUGACUCUGAGCACCACCGGUAACACGGUAGAAGGUUUGAGAUGAAGGUCUCAACCCCGGUACUCGAGUAGUUUACACACUCUGUAUGUAAUAGAAUGUAACCGUACAAUGUACAACUAUAAACAACUUUCAACAACGGAUCUCUUGGCUCUC
This 277-nucleotide unclassified non-coding RNA is filed under the name fungal sp. RNAcentral describes it as "partial internal transcribed spacer region". The stretch from base 1 to 46 matches the Rfam family "Eukaryotic small subunit ribosomal RNA", at positions 1786 to 1831 of the family's 1831-position model. Lineage: Eukaryota; Fungi. The record is from RNAcentral.